GAUGAACGCUAGCGGCAGGCUUAAUACAUGCAAGUCGAGGGGCAGCAGGUCCCGCAGCAAUGCGGGAUGCUGGCGACCGGCAAACGGGUGCGGAACACGUACAGAACCUUCCUUUAAGUUGGGAAUAGCCCCGGGAAACCCGGAUUAAUACCCCGUAACAUAAUGAAGUGGCAUCACUUUAUUAGUAUAGCCGCAAUGCGCUUGAAGAUGGCUGUGCGGCUGAUUAGGUAGUUGGCGGGGUAACGUCCCACCAAGCCUACGAUCAGUAACUGGUGUGAGAGCACGACCAGUCACACGGGCGCUGAGACACGGGCCCGACUACUACGGUAGGCAGCAGUAAGGAAUAUUGGGCAAUGGACGCAAGUCUGACCCAGCCAUGCCGCGUGGAGGAUGAAGGUCCUCUGGAUUGUAAACUUCUCUUAUCUGGGAAGAAAUCUAUUUUUUCUAAAGUAGCUGACGGUACCAGAUGAAUAAGCACCGGCUAACUCCGUGCCAGCCGCCGCCGUAA
This 508-nucleotide ribosomal RNA is filed under the name uncultured bacterium. RNAcentral describes it as "partial 16S ribosomal RNA". It matches the Rfam family "Bacterial small subunit ribosomal RNA", at positions 28 to 523 of the family's 1533-position model. The record is from RNAcentral.